GACGAACGCUGGCGGCAUGCCUAAUACAUGCAAGUCGAGCGGAGUUGAUGGAAAGCUUGCUUUCCUGAUACUUAGCGGCGGACGGGUGAGUAACACGUAGGCAACCUGCCCUCAAGCUCGGGACAACUACCGGAAACGGUAGCUAAUACCGAAUACUUGUUUUCUUCGCCUGAAGAGAACUGGAAAGACGGAGCAAUCUGUCACUUGGGGAUGGGCCUGCGGCGCAUUAGCUAGUUGGUGAGGUAACGGCUCACCAAGGCGACGAUGCGUAGCCGACCUGAGAGGGUGAUCGGCCACCCUGGGACUGAGACACGGCCCAGACUCCUACGGGAGGCAGCAGUAGGGAAUCUUCCGCAAUGGGCGAAAGCCUGACGGAGCAAUGCCGCGUGAGUGAUGAAGGUUUUCGGAUCGUAAAGCUCUGUUGCCAGGGAAGAACGCUUGGGAGAGUAACUGCUCCCAAGGUGACGGUACCUGAGAAGAAAGCCCCGGCUAACUACGUGCCAGCCGCCGCCGUAA
This 516-nucleotide ribosomal RNA is filed under the name uncultured bacterium. RNAcentral describes it as "partial 16S ribosomal RNA". It matches the Rfam family "Bacterial small subunit ribosomal RNA", at positions 28 to 523 of the family's 1533-position model. The record is from RNAcentral.